RNAcentral lists this ribosomal RNA (301 nucleotides) under uncultured bacterium. Its description in RNAcentral is "partial 16S ribosomal RNA". It matches the Rfam family "Bacterial small subunit ribosomal RNA", at positions 509 to 807 of the family's 1533-position model. The record is from RNAcentral.
CAGCAGCCGCGGGAAUACGUAGGGUCCGAGCGUUGUCCGGAAUUAUUGGGCGUAAAGAGCUCGUAGGCGGUCUGUCGCGUCUGCCGUGAAAUCCUCAGGCUCAACCUGAGGCGUGCGGUGGGUACGGGCAGGCUAGAGUGCGGUAGGGGAGAAUGGAACUCCUGGUGUAGCGGUGGAAUGCGCAGAUAUCAGGAAGAACACCGAUGGCGAAGGCAGUUCUCUGGGCCGUAACUGACGCUGAGGAGCGAAAGCGUGGGGAGCGAACAGGAUUAGAUACCCGAGUAGUCCCUGUCUCUUAUAC